Molecule: ribosomal RNA, 538 nt
Filed under: uncultured bacterium
Lineage: Bacteria
Description: bacterial SSU rRNA
Rfam family: Bacterial small subunit ribosomal RNA
Source: RNAcentral
UGGGGAAUCUUGGACAAUGGGGGCAACCCUGAUCCAGCCAUGCCGCGUGAGUGAUGAAGGCCUUAGGGUCGUAAAGCUCUUUCGCCUGUGAAGAUAAUGACGGUAGCAGGUAAAGAAACCCCGGCUAACUCCGUGCCAGCAGCCGCGGUAAUACGGAGGGGGUUAGCGUUGUUCGGAAUUACUGGGCGUAAAGCGCACGUAGGCGGAUCGGAAAGUUGGGGGUGAAAUCCCGGGGGCUCAACCCCGGAACUGCCUCCAAAACUAUCGGUCUAGAGUUCGAGAGAGGUGAGUGGAAUUCCGAGUGUAGAGGUGAAAUUCGUAGAUAUUCGGAGGAACACCAGUGGCGAAGGCGGCUCACUGGCUCGAUACUGACGCUGAGGUGCGAAAGUGUGGGGAGCAAACAGGAUUAGAUACCCUGGUAGUCCACGCCGUAAACGAUGGGUGCUAGGUGUUGGGUAGCUUGCUAUUCAGUGCCGUAGCUAACGCGUUAAGCACCCCGCCUGGGGAGUACGGUCGCAGAUUAAAACUCAAAUGAAUU